CUCGAUGGACAGCAGGUUUAAGAUUCCUGCACCCCUUGUUAUCAGAACUGCGGGGACACGGGAAGGGAAGCAGAGCCGGGAAUGGAAAGCCCGGUGCAAGCGAAGGAGUCGCAGGGUUGGAAAAUCCGCCCUGCAUAAGACGAAGGCGUGAUGCGGAGCGAAAUGAAGUAGUAAAGCUGCGGCCCCUUCCUGUCGAGAAAAGCCGCUAUCGUGUAGCAAGGGCCCGUACCGUAAACCGACACAGGUGGAUGAGGAGAGGAUCCUAAGGCCGGCGGGAGAAGUGUUGUUAAGGAACUCGGCAAAAUGACUCCGUAACUUCGGGAGAAGGAGUGCUGCGCAAGCAGCCGCAGAGAAAUGGCCCAAGCAACUGUUUAGCAAAAACACAGGUCUAUGCGAAACCGAAAGGUGAGGUAUAUGGGCUGACGCCUGCCCGGUGCUGGAAGGUUAAGGGGAGAGCUUAGCGCGAGCGAAGGUUUGAACUUAAGCCCCAGUAAACGGCGGCCGUAACAAUAACGGUCCUAAGGUAGCGAAAUUCCUUGUCGGGUAAGUUCCGACCCGCACGAAAGGCGUAAUGAUUUGGGCACUGUCUCAACAACACACCCGGUGAAAUUGAAAUACCAGUGAAGAUGCUGGUUACCCGCGCCAGGACGGAAAGACCCCAUGGAGCUUUACUCCAGCCUGAUACUGGGAUUCGGUAUUGCAUGUACAGGAUAGGUGGGAGGCUGAGAACUCAUGGCGCCAGCCGUGAGGGAGCCGAUGUUGGGAUACCACCCCUGCAGUACUGGGUUUCUAACCUGCGCCCGUGACCCGGGCGGGGGACAAUGUCAGGCGGGGAGUUUGACUGGGGCGGUCGCCUCCGAAAGGGUAUCGGAGGCGCUCAAAGGUCUCCUCAGGAUGGUUGGAAACCAUCCAGAGAGUGCAAAGGCAGAAGGAGGCUUGACUGCGACACCGACGGGUGGAGCAGGUACGAAAGUAGGACUUAGUGAUCCGGUGGCAUAAAGUGGGAUUGCCAUCGCUCAACGGAUAAAAGCUACCCUGGGAUAACAGGCUUAUCACUCCCAAGAGUUCACAUCGACGGAGUGGUUUGGCACCUGGAUGUCGGCUCAUCGCAUCCUGGAGCUGGAGCAGGUUCCAAGGGUUGGGCUGUUCGCCCAUUAAAGCGGUACGCGAGCUGGGUUCAGAACGUCGUGAGACAGUUCGGUCCCUAUCCGGCGCGGGCGCAGGAUAUCUGAGAGGAGCUGUCCUUAGUACGAGAGGACCGGGAUGGACCGUCCGCUGGUGGACCGGUUGUCAUGCCAAUGGCACGGCCGGGUAGCCAAGACGGGAAGGGAUAAACGCUGAAGGCAUCUAAGCGUGAAGCCCCCCUCAAGAUGAGAUAUCCAUACUCGAAAGAGUGAGAGACCCCUUAGAGACGAUGAGGUAGAUAGGGCAGGGAUGGAAGUGCAGCGAUGCAUGGAGUUGACUGUUACUAAUCGGUCGAAAGCUUG
RNAcentral lists this ribosomal RNA (1487 nucleotides) under metagenome. Its description in RNAcentral is "bacterial LSU rRNA". It matches the Rfam family "Bacterial large subunit ribosomal RNA", at positions 1414 to 2925 of the family's 2925-position model. The record is from RNAcentral.